Molecule: ribosomal RNA, 253 nt
Filed under: uncultured bacterium
Lineage: Bacteria
Description: partial 16S ribosomal RNA
Rfam family: Bacterial small subunit ribosomal RNA
Source: RNAcentral
UACGGAGGGGGCUAGCGUUGUUCGGAAUUACUGGGCGUAAAGCGCACGUAGGCGGCUUUGCAAGUCAGAGGUGAAAGCCCGGGGCUCAACCCCGGAAUUGCCUUUGAGACUGCUUCGCUAGAAUUGUGGAGAGGUAAGUGGAAUUCCGAGUGCAGAGGUGAAAUUCGUAGAUAUUCGGAAGAACACCAGUGGCGAAGGCGACUUACUGGACACAUAUUGACGCUGAGGUGCGAAAGCGUGGGGAGCAAACAGG